This 2332-nucleotide long non-coding RNA is filed under the name Marmota monax (woodchuck). The record is from RNAcentral. Lineage: Eukaryota; Metazoa; Chordata; Mammalia; Rodentia; Sciuridae.
AUUAACUCUACCAUACAACUCAAAAGUUCCUAUAUGAAUUUAAAAAUGUUGGUUUAAGUUACUCUCCCUAAAAGCAGUUUUAAGAUAUUCCCCCUAAUUUAUCCUGGAUUGCCUCUCUUUCUGUCUGUCUGUCUGUCUGGUCUAUCUAUCUCUCCACCUGCUUCACGCGGUGCAUCUCAACACCUCUGGACACAGACGGAGAAACCUUCCCUGGUGAAUUAACAGCUCACUGGCACCUCCCGCUCACUGGCGGGCAGAGCAUGGUGGCUGUGGGGUGCCUCUUGCUGGCAGGCAUCUGUGGCAACCUGGACCCCCUCCGUGGGCCUGCGCUGCCCCCUGCUGCCUUCCUGGAGCAUGUCCCCACUGUCCACUGCUGGAGAAGGCAGCCUGUGCGCCUUUCCUGAAGGGAACCUGGAGUCCUCCUUUGUAGUUUACCAUCAUGUGCCUUAGAGCUGUGGACUGAUGAUCUAUCGCAUCAGGUAUGAUAAGUGCUCAGCGUUGUAUUUUAUUUUUAGAUUGAUAUUUGUACCUGCUCAUCCUAAUCUGGUCAGCCGUGCCCUUGGUUUCUGGGUGGAUGCAGUAAGUACUUUGAUUGCCCAGGAAGAAAUCACGAUUCUUUCUCUGAAAAGGUGCGGGGAAACAGCUUUGGGAAUGCCACAUCCAGCUGACUUGCCCCUGAGCUGUCCCAGUAAACAAGCAGGCUGCCAAAGAGCCCUCCUGCUAGGCGUGGGGGCAUGGUGGGCUGGGGGACAGCUUCUGGGCUGUCCGUGAUCUGGCCAUGUGACCGCCCACCUGUGGUGGACCUCCUGAGGUCAUUAAGUUAGAGGUGUUGGCACUGAUGUCCAUUCAGAGGAACACCAGAACAGUCUACAGUCAUCAAACUCAUGUUUCUAAGGAGCUUUUAAUCUCAUGGAGAACACUGUGGAUGAAUUUCAAAUGAUGGAAAAGUGCAGAAUUAUAUAUGACUUCAAUAAUGUUUAAACAAAUGGAAUAGAGCACCAGUGAAUCCAGUUCUUCAAUUAUUAACAGCAAUCUUCUCUGCAUUUCCUAAAGUAUGUUGUCAAUGUUUUCUAAAGUAAAAUGGGGUGUUUUAUUAUGAACAGAACAUUAGCAGUUGGUUUAAAAUGAGCAUCUUUGACUAUGCAAAGAAUAACCUCAUCUAUAUAGCACACUUACAUUAUGAACAAUAAAGAAUUUGAUGAAAUUUUUUUUUUUCAUUAUCUACUGACAUGAACAUUCUUUUUCAUCAAAGGGUCUGAAAUAUCAGGCUAUUAAACCUAAAACCCUAAAACUAAGAUGGUAAGGGUUAUUAUUUAAACAUUUUACAAAAAUUCAUUAACAUUUAAUUUAUAAUCAUUAGAGCUCUAUUUAUUAUUAACAUUGAUCUCAUCAGAUCUUAAAUAUCAAGACUUCAAUAGUUUUAGAAAUUAUUGGAUGCAUUUAUAAUCUAAUAUUCCUAAUAUCAUAUUAUAAUAGCUGGGGUUAUAAUUCAAUAGUUUACAGUAGCUUUAUAAACCAUGGAUUAGAAUUUCAUCAUUAUGUAUAUGAGAACCAUUAUUAUUAAGUUUGGUAACACUCGUUCCUUGAUGGAACCCAGGUAAACCAGCUGAGCCUGAAACUUGAGUGGUUGUUGACUUGUGUCUCUUUAGAUUCCCUUCCCUCAACGCAUACAUUCUCCUUUUUAUUACUUUUUGAGAUAAUUCAUGGCUUCACGGAGAAAAGUCUCUUUUGUGGAGUGUUACAAUGCAGAGCCUUUACCCUGUGGGACUUCACAUUUCUCCCCAUGGUUCAAAACUGGACCUGAAGACUCUACUUAAUUUUAGGCCUAAUUCAUUAUCAUUUUUAUUUCCAUUUUCUUUUAGAAAAAAAUCAUUCAUGAUUUAGAUUACAGAACAAUUAUUUAAUAUUUAUAUUAAGACUUACUUACCUGUAUUUCUAUUCUUACAUGUUCCUGUUAUUUACUGACGUCAUGGACAGCUAGAAACAAUCUCUGCCUAAAGCCCUGGGUGCCUGGAGCACCUUCCACGUUGCCCCAGGCCUGUGGAAUCGGACAGAACCACCGUGGUGUGUGCAGUGCCAGGAGGCGUCUCCCAGCAGCACUGAGCCCCAGCACCCUGGAGGCAGGGGAGGUGACUGGCUGGGAACGAAGGCAACAGAAAUGGCCAUGAAGUUCUGAGAUGUGGAAGGUGCCCCAGACAGGGACCCGGUCCCGUGGCUUUACUCUAGACAGUACCAAGUGUUAGAGUCUGUAAACAAGUCAGGAUGGCGCCUGGUAUUUUGCCAGGGGGAGUGGUUUGUGAGGUGGCGCCAGCGAGCCAUUAAGUGUGGAGAU